GGUAUUGAAAUAAGAUUUUAAUUGAAUGCUAAGAGAAUGGAAGUCCAGAAAAAAACUUUUUUUAAAUUAAAAAUUGAAGUUUUUUUAAUUUGUGCAGAAACAAUUAUUUAUAUUAAAGACAAGAAGACCCUAUGAAUUUAUUAAAUUUUUAUUUAAUAUGUAAUUAUUAUUAGAAAAAUUUUGGCUGGGGCGGCUAGAAAAUAUUAUAAACUUUUUAAAAAUAAAAUGAUCCAUUAUUAAUGAUUUUAUGUUAAAUACUCUAGGGAUAACAGCGU
This 275-nucleotide ribosomal RNA is filed under the name Rhipicephalus sanguineus (brown dog tick). RNAcentral describes it as "partial large subunit ribosomal RNA". Lineage: Eukaryota; Metazoa; Arthropoda; Arachnida; Ixodida; Ixodidae. The record is from RNAcentral.